Molecule: long non-coding RNA, 1384 nt
Organism: Oncorhynchus tshawytscha (Chinook salmon)
Lineage: Eukaryota; Metazoa; Chordata; Actinopteri; Salmoniformes; Salmonidae
Source: Ensembl
AUAAUAUCUCUAUUAGAACUAUAGAAACAACAUCUCUAUUAGAACUAUAGAAACAUAAUAUCUCUAUUAGAACUAUAGAAACAUAAUAUCUCUAUUAGAACUAGAAACAUAAUAUCUCUAUUAGAACUAGAAACAAGAACAAUAGAAACAACAUUGAAUGUAAACUAAGACAGUUUUUCCAAAAGCACUGAUAUUAACAUAUUGUAUGCAGUAAAACAUGUUCAUGGAAUUGGCCUAUUUUCUGUACUAACUUUUCCCCUACUAAUUAUUUCCCAUACUAACUUCACUUUUACUUGAUGUUUGUCUUUAUGUUUGUCUUUACAAAAGUUUGUCUUUCCCAUAUUAUCGUGUCAAGUCCAUCUUAUCAUUUCCGGGACAGUCUCCAUUGCUUUCUAGCCACUGACGGCUUCUUCUCUGCUGGCCAGUUCACAUCUGCCACUUUCACACAUUCAGGUGGUCCUCCAAUUACUUCCAGAUACUGUGGUAAAUCUGAGAUGACCUUUUGUUCACUGGCAGCAGGUAUUGCAUCAGACACACAAUCUGAACAUCCCCAUACCAGUUUAUCAUCUCUUGGGCUUGUUGACUCCAUUCCUGUGCAUGCACUUUGACCUUUUGUUCUUUGACCUCCAGUAUAACGCCAGGGUAUGGUUGUUCAUCCUAGUUCACAAUGCACCACUGUCCAGUGUGGUGAGCCUCGAUGACAUCUGGACGAAGUGGAGCUGAGGUAUCUGGGUCGAUGACAUCUGGACGAAGUGGAGCUGAGGUAUCUGGGUCGAUGACAUCUGGACAAAGUGGAGCUGAGGUAUCUGGGUCGGCGACAUCUGGACAAAGCGGAGCUGAGAUAUCUGGGUCGGCGACAUCUGGACAAAGUGGAGCUGAGAGACCAUGGCCAUUAGCCGGGGCUGUGAUUUCUUGGAGUCUAUAACAUGGGCAAUCCCACAUGCUAUGCGCUGCUUGGCAGAGACAACUGUCUCUGUAUUUGAGGAUGCCAGGCACGAUACACUUUCCUUUUAUGGUGACCAGAGGUACCCCAGAAAUCCUCUGUGCCUUACUUUCCACCUCUGCCUCACUGACAUAAUACAACUGUAUUUGAGUGCCAGAGUCCCUUACCUCCCGAUAGAAAUACAUUGUGUCCGUUAUGUCUUUUCAGUGGUGGACCAAGAGGUCAGCUGACCCGCCCACUCCAACACUGUUUCUCCUGCUCUCAACAUCUGUGUUAUUUCUGUCUGACCCACCAUUGCUUUCACUCAUGUCUUGUUCCACUUUCUGUGACAACAUUCAUUCUUUUUUUUUUCAACUCUCUAAAACCUUUCACUAAAUCCUGUGUUUUUUUCCAAGGUAGGUUGCUCGGUGAUCCAGGUCAGCAUCCCUGCGCGGUCAAAUC